This 543-nucleotide ribosomal RNA is filed under the name Triticum aestivum (bread wheat). RNAcentral describes it as "partial small subunit ribosomal RNA". The record is from RNAcentral. Lineage: Eukaryota; Viridiplantae; Streptophyta; Magnoliopsida; Poales; Poaceae.
AUGGACGAGCUUACCAAGGAGCAGAUCCAGGAGUUCCGGGAGGCCUUCAGCCUCUUCGACAAAGAUGGCGACGGGACGAUCACGACCAAGGAGCUGGGGACGGUGAUGCGGUCGCUGGGGCAGCACCCGACGGAGGAGGAGCUCAAGGACAUGGUGGAGGAGGUGGACGCCGACGGGAGCGGCUCCAUCGACUUCAACGAGUUCCUGGGGCUGGUGGCGCGGCAGAUGCGCGGGGACGCCGAAGCCGAGGAGGAGCUCCACGAGGCCUUCCGCGUCUUCGACAAGGACAACAAUGGCUUCAUCUCCCUCGACGAGCUCCGCACCGUCAUGAAGAACCUCGGCGAGAAGCUCUCCGAGGACGAGCUCAACGAGAUGCUCCAAGAGGCCGACGCCGACGGCGACGGGCAGAUUAACUACAAGGAGUUCGCCAAGGUCAUGAUGGCAAAACGGCGAGCAAAUGCGGAGGAACAUGGAGGUGGCGAACACAGCGGGGCGGAGCACUCACACAACCGUGGGGGCGGUUGCCCAUGUACAAUUCUCUAA